Molecule: ribosomal RNA, 253 nt
Filed under: uncultured bacterium
Lineage: Bacteria
Description: partial 16S ribosomal RNA
Rfam family: Bacterial small subunit ribosomal RNA
Source: RNAcentral
UACGGAGGGUGCGAGCGUUGUCCGGAAUCACUGGGCGUAAAGGGCGCGUAGGCGGCGCGGGCAGUCAACGGUGAAAGCUUGGGGCUCAACCCCGAGUCGGCCGUCGAUACUCCCGUGCUUGAGCACUGUAGAGGCAGGUGGAAUUCCGGGUGUAGCGGUGGAAUGCGUAGAGAUCCGGAAGAACACCGGUGGCGAAGGCGGUCUGCUGGGCAGUUGCUGACACUGAUGCGCGACAGCGUGGGGAGCAAACAGG